Molecule: unclassified non-coding RNA, 520 nt
Filed under: uncultured Glomus
Lineage: Eukaryota; Fungi; Glomeromycota; Glomeromycetes; Glomerales; Glomeraceae
Description: SSU rRNA
Rfam family: Eukaryotic small subunit ribosomal RNA
Source: RNAcentral
AGCAGCCGCGGUAAUUCCAGCUCCAAUAGCGUAUAUUAAAGUUGUUGCAGUUAAAAAGCUCGUAGUUGAAUUUCGGGAUCAAUAUAUCGGUCGUGCCUUGGUACGUACUGGUAUCAUUGGUUUCUCCUUUCUGACGAACCAUGAUGUCAUUAAUUUGGUGUUAUGGGAAGUUAGGACUGUUACUUUGAAAAAAUUAGAGUGUUUAAAGCAGGCUUUAGCUUGAAUACAUUAGCAUGGAAUAAUGAAAUAGGACGUUCGAACCUAUUUUGUUGGUUUCUAGGAUCAACGUAAUGAUUAAUAGGGAUAGUUGGGGGCAUUAGUAUUCAAUUGUCAGAGGUGAAAUUCCUGGAUUUAUUGAAGACUAACUACUGCGAAAGCAUUUGCCGAGGAUGUUUUCAUUAAUCAAGAACGAAAGUUAGGGGAUCGAAGACGAUCAGAUACCGUCGUAGUCUUAACCAUAAACUAUGCCGACUAGGGAUCGGAUGAUGUUAAUUUUUUAAUGACUCAUUCGGCGCCUUAC